GCAGCUGGUCCUGCAGCUCGUGGCGGGGAUCUUGCACCUGGGGAACAUCAGUUUCUGCGAAGACGGGAACUAUGCCCGAGUGGAGAGUGUGGACCUCCUGGCCUUUCCCGCCUACCUGCUGGGCAUUGACAGCGGGCGACUGCAGGAGAAGCUGACCAGCCGCAAGAUGGACAGCCGCUGGGGUGGGCGCAGCGAGUCCAUCGAUGUGACCCUCAACGUGGAGCAGGCAGCCUACACCCGUGACGCCCUGGCCAAGGGGCUCUAUGCCCGCCUCUUCGACUUCCUCGUGGAGGCGAGUGGGGCUGGGGCUGGAAGGCAAAGUGGAUGCUCUGGGGUCACAAACAUUUAUGGAGGCUGAGUGCAGUGGCUCACAGCUGCAAUCCCAAUGCUUUGGGUGGCUGAGGUGGGAGCAUCCUUUGAGGCCAGAAGUUCAAGAUCAGCCUGGGCAACACAGCAAGACCCCCAUCUUUACAGAAAUUUCAAAUUAGUUGGGUGUGGUGGUGUGCACUUGUAGUUCUAGCUACUCAGAGGGCUGAGGUUGGGGGAUCAUUUGAACCCAGGAGGUUGGGGCUGCAGUGAGCUAUGAUUGCGCUAUUGUACUCCAGCCUGGGCAACAGAGAGAGACUCUGUCUCAAAAUAAAUAAAUUAAUUAAAUUAAAUUAAAACUUUU
Molecule: small RNA, 670 nt
Filed under: Pongo abelii (Sumatran orangutan)
Lineage: Eukaryota; Metazoa; Chordata; Mammalia; Primates; Hominidae
Description: retained intron
Source: RNAcentral